UAGCUGGUCUGAGAGGAUGGCCAGCCACACUGGAACUGAGACACGGUCCAGACUCCUACGGGAGGCAGCAGUGGGGAAUAUUGGACAAUGGGGGMAACCCUGAUCCAGCAAUGCCGCGUGUGUGAAGAAGGCCUGAGGGUUGUAAAGCACUUUCAGUGGGGAGGAGGGUUGAUAGGUUAAGAGCUAAUUAAYUGGACGUUACCCACAGAAGAAGCACCGGCUAACUCCGUGCCAGCAGCCGCGGUAAUACGGAGGGUGCGAGCGUUAAUCGGAAUUACUGGGCGUAAAGGGUGCGUAGGUGGUUUAUUAAGUUAUCUGUGAAAUCCCUGGGCUUAACCUGGGCAGGUCAGAUAARACUGGUAGACUCGAGUAUGG
Molecule: ribosomal RNA, 375 nt
Filed under: uncultured Legionella sp.
Lineage: Bacteria; Pseudomonadati; Pseudomonadota; Gammaproteobacteria; Legionellales; Legionellaceae
Description: bacterial SSU rRNA
Rfam family: Bacterial small subunit ribosomal RNA
Source: RNAcentral